UACGUAGGGGGCAAGCGUUGUCCGGAUUUACUGGGCGUAAAGAGCGCGUAGGCGGAAGUUUAAGCGUAGCCUGAAAGCCCCCGGCUCAACCGGGGAGAGUGGCCGCGAACUGGACUUCUUGAGGGCGAUAGAGGAGAGCGGAAUUCCUGGUGUAGCGGUGAAAUGCGUAGAGAUCAGGAGGAACACCCGUGGCGAAGGCGGCUCUCUGGGACGGUACUGACGCUGAGACGCGAAAGCGUGGGGAGCGAACAGG
Molecule: ribosomal RNA, 253 nt
Filed under: uncultured bacterium
Lineage: Bacteria
Description: partial 16S ribosomal RNA
Rfam family: Bacterial small subunit ribosomal RNA
Source: RNAcentral